This 1379-nucleotide long non-coding RNA is filed under the name Pocillopora damicornis (cauliflower coral). RNAcentral describes it as "uncharacterized LOC113684665, transcript variant X3". Lineage: Eukaryota; Metazoa; Cnidaria; Anthozoa; Scleractinia; Pocilloporidae. The record is from RNAcentral.
UCUGCUGGAUAAUGCUUGGAUAUGAUAGGGAGAAGUGAUGUGUUAAUCAGUUCUGGGAGUUAAAGGGUUAAAAGCAACCAUCUUAGUUGUGUAUGAAUAUGUAUAUCAUUUUUUGGCUGACCAGGUAAAACUUAAACAUUAAAGUUUCUAAGUAGAUAAUUGUUUAUGAAAGGAGGUUUUUUUUUUAGUAAUCUUAAAAGCUAGGUAGGUAUUUAUCCAUGCAUAUCACAGUACAUAAUUUUGUUGCUGACAUGUGGUUGAUUAUUUACCUUUCAAUGAAAUUUAAACUGUAAAGUAACAACUUUUUGCUGUUUUGUUUAAGAUCUCCAGAAGGCUGAUCAUGACCAUCAUUAUAUAGGAUGCUGGAAUUUGGGGUCAAGUUGGUUGUUACAAAGCUUUGAAUAACACCAGGUUCCCGAGGUUCCUGUCUUUGAGGAUAUAAUUUCAAAUCAGCAAUGCUGGGAGGGACACCCUGUUGCCUGUGAGGAAACAAUUCCAAAAAAGCAAAAGUAUACUCAGCACCAUAGAAAUGUGUAGCUGAACAGUGCCAAAGAUCACCUGACUGAAUCUGAUUUCACCCUCAGGUAUUACAUAGCUGGCAAGCAGCUCUCGUUAUUAGCACCGCAGGACGCCCUUUUCUCCGCCCGCGGGAAGAUUGGAAGCGAGUCAGGGAGAGAGAUUUGCCAGAAGUCUGGAACUACUCUGAGACCCAUAUUAGCUCAAGGCCUUGUAAUUUCCCGCGGAGGAUGAAGCGCUCGUGACGAAGCGAGGGCCUGCUGGCCGGCAAGGCAUCUGGAAUCCAGAGCAUUCUCACAAAGACAUCUGGCAACCGCACAACUUAAAGGAAGGGUGAAGUCGAGGUCAUGCAUAAAUUAAAGUGAUCAGAAACAUGAAGGGAAAGCUAAAACCAAAGACAACAAAUGCGAUUGUCUGCACACUGUUGAAUGGAAGUAUCAACCUUAAAAUCCUCGCUAGUCAGAUGCAAAUGAAGUCGAGAUAGAUCACAUUUUCUGACAUGGAAGGCAAAAGAAACGCUUUCUCUAAGUUUUGGAGGAAACUAGCACUUGAAGAAAUUCUGUAAAUUUUCAAUACUCUAUACGUUGUUAUUUGUUUGUUCUCACUUUCCUCUAGUUUUCCACUAGUCACUACUUUCCACGAGCUAUUUCUUGAAUCUUCGGUUAAGUUUGAUUAGCCGCCGAAAGGCCUUCAUAAAAAUAUGCGCACCAGGAGUUACAGUGGAUCUCAUUGCACUGCGUCAAUCCUUCUAGUGUCGGAUUAUCGAAGUGCCCAGUGUCUGUUUAAAGUGAGGAAAGACGUUGAGCCUUCUAUGAACCAGUAAUUUCUGUAAUGUCUUGCAAUUAAACUCUUUCGUUAUAAUG